RNAcentral lists this unclassified non-coding RNA (394 nucleotides) under fungal sp. RNAcentral's name for it is "partial internal transcribed spacer region". The stretch from base 1 to 46 matches the Rfam family "Eukaryotic small subunit ribosomal RNA", at positions 1786 to 1831 of the family's 1831-position model. The record is from RNAcentral. Lineage: Eukaryota; Fungi.
AAGUCGUAACAAGGUUUCCGUAGGUGAACCUGCGGAAGGAUCAUUAACUCGUGAAUACUUCACGAUUUAAACCAAACGCGAACUGUUGUUUAUCUCUGUCUCAUUGUCGUAUUCAAGUGACUUGCAAGGGAAUGGUGUGAGAUGCAAAUCUCUAACUUGUGAGUCUGUAGUCUUCGAGACUAAGCUUGGGUCGAUAGUGUUAUUCUUAAUUCUGACUGUAGGCCUGCACCUUGGCUUGCAGUUGGGGUGUUUACUUACCUAUUUACCUUUUUUAUAUUUUCUCUAAUUACUGUACAUACUUGCGAAUUCCUGUCUUGCCAAAGGUGGUUGAGUUCACUUGGAUGUCAAAAACAUAAACAAAAAACAACUCUUAGCAACGGAUAUCUUGGUUCUC